This 408-nucleotide ribosomal RNA is filed under the name uncultured bacterium. RNAcentral describes it as "partial 16S ribosomal RNA". It matches the Rfam family "Bacterial small subunit ribosomal RNA", at positions 29 to 526 of the family's 1533-position model. The record is from RNAcentral.
AGUGAACGCUGGCGGCGUGCCUAAUACAUGCAAGUCGAACGGAUUGGCGCACGGGUGCGUAAUAUAUAGCUAAUCUGCCCCUUGCUUUAGGACCACAGUUAGAAAUGACUGCUAAUACUCCAUAGCAAGGGAUGAGACUAUAUCGUGUCAGCUAGUCGGUGGGGUAACGGCCUACCGAGGCUAUGACGCGUAACUGGUCUGAGAGGAUGAUCAGUCACAUUGGAACUGAGACACGGUCCAAACUCCUACGGGAGGAAGAAGUAGGGAAUAUUGCGCAAUGGGGGAAACCCGGACGCAGCAACGCCGCGUGGAGGAUGACACUUAUCGGAGCGUAAACUCCGUUUGUUAGGGAAGCGGUACCGAACGAAUAAGCACAGGCUAACGCCGUGCCAGCAGCCGCGGUAAUAC